AAAAUCAAUAUACUUCUAAUGUCGAAUCAGGAUNNNAAUUGGCGAAUUCGUAGGUUCAAUUCCUACUGGAUGCAC
Molecule: transfer RNA, 75 nt
Filed under: Schlechtendalia luzulifolia
Lineage: Eukaryota; Viridiplantae; Streptophyta; Magnoliopsida; Asterales; Asteraceae
Description: tRNA-Met
Source: RNAcentral